This 545-nucleotide ribosomal RNA is filed under the name uncultured archaeon. Its description in RNAcentral is "bacterial SSU rRNA". It matches the Rfam family "Archaeal small subunit ribosomal RNA", at positions 332 to 879 of the family's 1478-position model. The record is from RNAcentral.
GCAGCAGGCGGNANACCUUUACACUACGCGAAAGCGUGAUAAGGGGAUCCUAAGUGCUUACCUUAUGGUAGGCUUUUGCCGAGUGCAAAUAGCUCGGAGAAUAAGUGGUGGGCAAGACCGGUGCCAGCCGCCGCGGUAACACCGGCGCCACGAGUGGGGGUCAUAUUUAUUGGGCCUAAAGCGUUCGUAGCCGAAUCUGCAAAUCUCUUGUGAAAUCGCCAUGCUCAACAUGACGGAUGGCAAGAGCGACUACAGAUUUAGAGAUCGGGAGGAGGCGGGGGUAUUCCUUGGGGAGCGGUAAAAUGUUUUAAUCCUUGGAAGACCACCUGUGGCGAAGGCGUCCGCCUAGAACGAAUCUGACGGUGAGGAACGAAAGCUGGGGGAGCGAUCCGGAUUAGAUACCCGAGUAGUCCCAGCUGUAAACACUGCGAACUAUGUGUCACAAAAACUUCGUGUUUUUGUGGUGCCGUAGCGAAGGCGUUAAGUUCGCCGCCUGGGAAGUAUAGUCGCAAGAUCGAAACUUAAAGGAAUUGGCGGGGGAGCAC